AAAGUUUUAAGUUAAAUUAAACUAUUAACCUUCAAAGUUAAAUAUAUAUAUAUUAUAUAAGCUUUA
This 66-nucleotide transfer RNA is filed under the name Caystrus obscurus. RNAcentral describes it as "tRNA-Trp". The record is from RNAcentral. Lineage: Eukaryota; Metazoa; Arthropoda; Insecta; Hemiptera; Pentatomidae.